UACGGGGGGAGCAAGCGUUGUUCGGAUUUACUGGGCGUAAAGGGCGGGUAGGCGGCCACCGCAAGUCGACUGUGUAAUCUCCGGGCUUAACCCGGAAAGGUCAGCCGAUACUGCGGGGCUAGAGUGCAGAAGGGGCAACUGGAAUUCUCGGUGUAGCGGUGAAAUGCGUAGAUAUCGAGAGGAACACCUGCGGCGAAGGCGGGUUGCUGGGCUGACACUGACGCUGAACUGCGAAAGCUAGGGGAGCGAACGGG
Molecule: ribosomal RNA, 254 nt
Filed under: uncultured bacterium
Lineage: Bacteria
Description: partial 16S ribosomal RNA
Rfam family: Bacterial small subunit ribosomal RNA
Source: RNAcentral